Molecule: ribosomal RNA, 467 nt
Filed under: uncultured bacterium
Lineage: Bacteria
Description: partial 16S ribosomal RNA
Rfam family: Bacterial small subunit ribosomal RNA
Source: RNAcentral
GAUGAAUGCUGGCGGCGUGCCUAACACAUGCAAGUCGAGCGGCAGCGCGAGUAGUUUACUACUUGGCGGCGAGCGGCGGACGGCUGAGUAACGCGUGGGAACGUGCCCCAAAGUGAGGAAUAACUGCCCGAAAGGGUGGCUAAUGCCGCAUAUGAUCUUCGGAUUAAAGUCUUCGGACGCUUUGGGAGCGGCCCGCGUUAGAUUAGGUAGUUGGUGAGGUAAUGGCUCACCAAGCCGACGAUCUAUAGCUGGUCUGAGAGGAUGAUCAGCCAGACUGGAACUGAGACACGGUCCAGACUCCUACGGGAGGCAGCAGUGAGGAAUCUUCCACAAUGGGCGAAAGCCUGAUGGAGCAACGCCGCGUGAAGGAUGAAGGCCCUAGGGUUGUAAACUUCUUUUAUAAGUGAAGAAUAUGACGGUAACUUAUGAAUAAGCACCGGCUAACUACGUGCCAGCCGCCGCGGUAA